GAUGAACGCUGGCGGCGUGCCUAAUACAUGCAAGUAGAACGCUGAAGCUUGGUGCUUGCACCGAGCGGAUGAGUUGCGAACGGGUGAGUAACGCGUAGGUAACCUGCCUCUUAGCGGGGGAUAACUAUUGGAAACGAUAGCUAAUACCGCAUAAAAGUUGACAUUGCAUGAUGUUGAUUUGAAAGAUGCAAUUGCAUCACUAAGAGAUGGACCUGCGUUGUAUUAGCUAGUUGGUGAAGUAACGGCUCACCAAGGCGACGAUACAUAGCCGACCUGAGAGGGUGAUCGGCCACACUGGGACUGAGACACGGCCCAGACUCCUACGGGAGGCAGCAGUAGGGAAUCUUCGGCAAUGGGGGCAACCCUGACCGAGCAACGCCGCGUGAGUGAAGAAGGUUUUCGGAUCGUAAAGCUCUGUUGUAAGAGAAGAACGAGUGUGAGAGUGGAAAGUUCACACUGUGACGGUAACUUACCAGAAAGGGACGGCUAACUACGUGCCAGCAGCCGCGGUAAUACGUAGGUCCCGAGCGUUAUCCGGAUUUAUUGGGCGUAAAGCGAGCGCAGGCGGUUAGAUAAGUCUGAAGUUAAAGGCUGUGGCUUAACCAUAGUACGCUUUGGAAACUGUUUAACUUGAGUGCAGAAGGGGAGAGUGGAAUUCCAUGUGUAGCGGUGAAAUGCGUAGAUAUAUGGAGGAACACCGGUGGCGAAAGCGGCUCUCUGGUCUGUAACUGACGCUGAGGCUCGAAAGCGUGGGGAGCAAACAGG
RNAcentral lists this ribosomal RNA (765 nucleotides) under uncultured Streptococcus sp. RNAcentral's name for it is "bacterial SSU rRNA". It matches the Rfam family "Bacterial small subunit ribosomal RNA", at positions 28 to 776 of the family's 1533-position model. The record is from RNAcentral. Lineage: Bacteria; Bacillati; Bacillota; Bacilli; Lactobacillales; Streptococcaceae.